UGCGCAGGCGGUUUUGUAAGACAGGCGUGAAAUCCCCGGGCUCAACCUGGGAAUGGCGUUUGUGACUGCAAGGCUAGAGUAUGGCAGAGGGGGGUAGAAUUCCACGUGUAGCAGUGAAAUGCGUAGAGAUGUGGAGGAAUACCGAUGGCGAAGGCAGCCCCCCUGGGCCAAUACUGACGCUCAUGCACGAAAGCGUGGGGAGCAAACAGGAUUAGAUACCCUGGUAGUCCACGCCCUAAACGAUGUCAACUAGGUGUUGGGUGGGUAAACCAUUUAGUACCGGAGCUAACGCGUGAAGUUGACCGCCGUGGGGAGUACGGCCGCAAGGUUAA
This 332-nucleotide ribosomal RNA is filed under the name uncultured bacterium. Its description in RNAcentral is "bacterial SSU rRNA". It matches the Rfam family "Bacterial small subunit ribosomal RNA", at positions 568 to 897 of the family's 1533-position model. The record is from RNAcentral.